RNAcentral lists this transfer RNA (71 nucleotides) under Loxodonta africana (African savanna elephant). It matches the Rfam family "tRNA". Rfam says of the family: Transfer RNA (tRNA) molecules are approximately 80 nucleotides in length. Their secondary structure includes four short double-helical elements and three loops (D, anti-codon, and T loops). Further hydrogen bonds mediate the characteristic L-shaped molecular structure. tRNAs have two regions of fundamental functional importance: the anti-codon, which is responsible for specific mRNA codon recognition, and the 3' end, to which the tRNAs corresponding amino acid is attached (by aminoacyl-tRNA synthetases). tRNAs cope with the degeneracy of the genetic code in two manners: having more than one tRNA (with a specific anti-codon) for a particular amino acid; and 'wobble' base-pairing, i.e. permitting non-standard base-pairing at the 3rd anti-codon position. The record is from Rfam by way of RNAcentral. Lineage: Eukaryota; Metazoa; Chordata; Mammalia; Proboscidea; Elephantidae.
CCAUGGGUGGCUCAGUGGUAGAUUUCUCGCCUUUGAUGCAGAAGACCUGGGUUUGAUUCCCGGUCCAUGCA